UUUCUAUAGUGAAAAUUAAUCACAACACACUUUCUAUGUGUUAAUGUUAAUAACUAGAACAGAAAU
This 66-nucleotide transfer RNA is filed under the name Lithobius maqinensis. RNAcentral describes it as "transfer RNA-Glu". The record is from RNAcentral. Lineage: Eukaryota; Metazoa; Arthropoda; Chilopoda; Lithobiomorpha; Lithobiidae.